AUUGAACGCUGGCGGCAGGCCUAACACAUGCAAGUCGAGCGGAUGAAGGGAGCUUGCUCCUGGAUUCAGCGGCGGACGGGUGAGUAAUGCCUAGGAAUCUGCCUGGUAGUGGGGGAUAACGUCCGGAAACGGGCGCUAAUACCGCAUACGUCCUGCGGGAGCAAGUGGGGGAUCUUCGGACCUCACGCUAUCAGAUGAGCCUAGGUCGGAUUAGCUAGUUGGUGGGGUAAAGGCCUACCAAGGCGACGAUCCGUAACUGGUCUGAGAGGAUGAUCAGUCACACUGGAACUGAGACACGGUCCAGACUCCUACGGGAGGCAGCAGUGGGGUAUAUUGGACAAUGGGCGAAAGCCUGAUCCAGCCAUGCCGCGUGUGUGAAGAAGGUCUUCGGAUUGUAAAGCACGUUAAGUUGGGAGGAAGGGCAGUAAGUUAAUACCUUGCUGGUUUGACGUUACCAACAGAAUAAGCACCGGCUAACUUCGUG
Molecule: ribosomal RNA, 484 nt
Filed under: uncultured bacterium
Lineage: Bacteria
Description: partial 16S ribosomal RNA
Rfam family: Bacterial small subunit ribosomal RNA
Source: RNAcentral